Molecule: ribosomal RNA, 462 nt
Filed under: uncultured bacterium
Lineage: Bacteria
Description: partial 16S ribosomal RNA
Rfam family: Bacterial small subunit ribosomal RNA
Source: RNAcentral
GAUCAACGCUGGCGGCGUGCUUAACACAUGCAAGUCGAACGAAGUUUUUCCUUCGGGAGAAGCUUAGUGGCGGACGGGUGCGUAACGCGUGGGUAACCUGCCCUGUACAGGGGGACAACAGCUGUAAACGGCUGCUAAUACCGCAUAAGCCCUUAGCACUGCAUGGUGCAUAGGGAAAAGGAGCAAUCCGGUACAGGAUGGACCCGCGUCUGAUUAGCCAGUUGGCAGGGUAACGGCCUACCAAAGCGACGAUCAGUAGCCGAUCUGAGAGGAUGUACGGCCACAUUGGGACUGAGACACGGCCCAGACUCCUACGGGAGGCAGCAGUGGGGAAUAUUGCACAAUGGAGGAAACUCUGAUGCAGCGACGCCGCGUGAGUGAAGAAGUAUUUCGGUAUGUAAAGCUCUAUCAGCAGGGAAGAAAAUGACGGUACCUGACUAAGAAGCACCGGCUAAAUACGUG